UACGAAGGGGGCGAGCGUUGUUCGGAAUCACUGGGCGUAAAGGGCGCGUAGGCGGCCCUCUUUGUCGCGUGUGAAAGCCCCGGGCUCAACCCGGGAAGUGCACCCGAUACUGUAUGGCUUGAGUAUCGGAGAGGUUGGUGGAAUUCUCGGUGUAGAGGUGAAAUUCGUAGAUAUCGAGAGGAACACCGGUGGCGAAGGCGGCCAACUGGACGAAUACUGACGCUGAGACACGAAAGCGUGGGGAGCAAACAGG
Molecule: ribosomal RNA, 253 nt
Filed under: uncultured bacterium
Lineage: Bacteria
Description: partial 16S ribosomal RNA
Rfam family: Bacterial small subunit ribosomal RNA
Source: RNAcentral